GGUUGUAUAGUGUAGCGGGUUAGUAUAGUCGUUAUCUCAUAUAUCUACACAUACUAAUGUUAACAGUUAGCACGUGGGUUUUUGAGGAGAGAGCAAUUCUCUAAUGCUUAUUAUACCUGAAUCCUGGGUUCGAGCCCCAGUACGACCU
Molecule: non-coding RNA, 148 nt
Organism: Calycina marina
Lineage: Eukaryota; Fungi; Ascomycota; Leotiomycetes; Helotiales; Pezizellaceae
Source: the annotation of a GenBank genome assembly